GUAAUACGAAGGGACCUAGCGUAGUUCGGAAUUACUGGGCUUAAAGAGUUCGUAGGUGGUUGAAAUAGUUGGUGGUGAAAUCCCAGAGCUUAACUCUGGAACUGCCAUCAAAACUUUUCAGCUAGAGUAUGAUAGAGGAAAGCAGAAUUUCUAGUGUAGAGGUGAAAUUCGUAGAUAUUAGAAAGAAUACCAAUUGCGAAGGCAGCUUUCUGGAUCAUUACUGACACUGAGGAACGAAAGCAUGGGUAGCGAAGAGGAUUAGAUACCCUCGUAGUCCAUGCCGUAAACGAUGUGUGUUAGACGUUGGAAAUUUAUUUUCAGUGUCGCAGGGAAACCGAUAAACACACCGCCUGGGGAGUACGACCGCAAGGUUAAAACUCAAAUGAAUUGACGGGGACCCGCACAAGUAGUGGAGCAUGUGGUUUAAUUCGAAGAUACGCGCAGAACCUUACCAACACUUGACAUGUUCGUCGCGACUCUAAGAGAUUAGAGUUUUCGGUUCGGCCGGACGAAACACAGGUGCUGCAUGGCUGUCGUCAGCUCGUGUCGUGAGAUGUUGGGUUAAGUCCCGCAACGAGCGCAACCCUCACUUUUAGUUGCCAUCAUUAAGUUGGGCACUCUGAAAGAACUGCCAGUGAUAAGCUGGAGGAAGGUGGGGAUGACGUCAAGUCCUCAUGGCCCUUACGUGUUGGGCUACACACGUGCUACAAUGGUAUCUACAACAGGAAGCAAGACUGCGAGGUCAAGCAAAUCCCUAAAAGAUACCUCAGUUCGGAUUGCACUCUGCAACUCGGGUGCAUGAAGCUGGAAUUACUAGUAAUCGUGGAUCAGCGUGCCACGGUGAAUGCGUUCCCGGGUCUUGUACACACCGCCCGUCACACCAUGGGAGUUGGUUCUACCUUAAGGCAAGGUUUCAAACCCUUGACCACGGUAUAGUCAGCGACUGGGGUG
RNAcentral lists this ribosomal RNA (951 nucleotides) under uncultured bacterium. RNAcentral's name for it is "bacterial SSU rRNA". It matches the Rfam family "Bacterial small subunit ribosomal RNA", at positions 520 to 1482 of the family's 1533-position model. The record is from RNAcentral.